Molecule: long non-coding RNA, 887 nt
Organism: Hemibagrus wyckioides
Lineage: Eukaryota; Metazoa; Chordata; Actinopteri; Siluriformes; Bagridae
Exons: 4
Source: RefSeq, a predicted model, not a curated record
UGUCCAUAUUUGAUGCACGAGGAUUGGACUGAAAUGUUAAAUCACGCUUUACCAAAGUCAGUAAGAUAGGAUCGGAGGCACUUACCACAUCACAACUCUGAAAUGUAACCUAGUUGAAGAUGUCACGGCUCAUUGUAGUUAUGUGUUUAUAUAAUAAAAUGUGUUUUAAUUAGGGAAGAGCACUCCUGAGGACUUGGUCGGCAGCAAGGAGCCCAAGCAGGACCUCAGUAAUUCCAGCCUUUCAUCUCUUACAUACGGAAUAAUCAAACCUGACACCAGUAAUGCAGAUGUGGGCAGAGCUACAAAUGGAGAGAUUGGUACCCACACUUCACAAACCUCUGCUGGUACACCGAGCCUUCUAGUGGAGGAACUGAUACAGGUGUUCGACUCGGUCCGAGACAAAGUCCUGAACGAUCCUCACACCUUCACCCUCCCGGUGCAGAGGUUCAUUUCUCAUUAUGAAAACAUAAAAUCAGACUCCGCUCUCGCCUCAGCGCUGUCUGUGUUCGGGAAAAGAACCUGCAGAUGGACGUCGCUCCGAAAGCCAGCAGCUGGGGGAAACGGGACACUGUCUACGGGUCGUCUUCUGAAGAGGAUCAGACCAGAGCACGACUAUCCGAGCUGGACGAAGAAGAGAAUCAGGUCACAGAGUUUAGAGCUGUGUAUGGAUCAGAGUAUGACACAAAAUAGAGAAGAAAAUAAAGCUUAAAAUCCUGCCAGAUUGUUUGUAUUUUUGUUUUAUGGAUUAAAAGAGAAUAAAUCUCGUGUUUGUUCCGACUAUAAUCACAUUUCAGACAACAUGGUGGUGAUAUUUAUUUAACAUUUAUGUAAGGUCUCCAGUGUCAGUGCUUUUGGUCUUCAAGACAGAGAAUGAGUUUUUGUUGAUA